This 2686-nucleotide long non-coding RNA is filed under the name Olea europaea subsp. europaea. The stretch from base 190 to 342 matches the Rfam family "MIR403 microRNA precursor family". Lineage: Eukaryota; Viridiplantae; Streptophyta; Magnoliopsida; Lamiales; Oleaceae. The record is from RNAcentral.
GGAAUAUUAAAAAAAAAUGAAAAAGAAAUAUAAGGCUACUAGGGUUUGGUGUUUCGUACAACUGAAUGAUCCAAUCCUUAGAUCUCUUCUAAGUCUCCUCUCUACAAAUUGUCUUUGUUCUACAAAAUUUAUCAUAUUUUAUUUCAUGUUCGAUGAAGAUGAUGAAAGCUGCAACAAUUCACAGAAGAGGCGGAUUUCCAGUUUGUGCGUGAAUUUAACGCGAUGAGUACAGACUUAAUUUGGGGGAUUUUGACACGAAAUUUAGUCAACAAAUUCCCGAUUUAGAAAUUAAUUGGUGUUGUAUUAGUUCGUUAGAUUCACGCACAAACUCGAAAUCUGUCUUUUCGUUUUCGGUUUCGAUAUUACCAAUCUGUUAUAUUCUAAAUCGCGACGGCUGGGGAAGGCAAUUUCUAACCAGCCAGGUUUGUUUUCUAAUUUGAUCUGUUUUAUUUUAAUAAUUAUUUUUUGAUCUUGAUUUGGUUAAUAAAUGGAGUUCCUAGAUUGUCGAAUCUGCUGGAAAAAAGAUGACUAGAAUUAGUAAAACUGAGAUUAAUCUUGUUGUUAUUAGAUAUUUAUAUUUCCUUAGCAAAUGAAUAUGAUGCACAUGAUAAACAUGCUUUUCUUUUGUGAAAGUUAGGAACUUUACAUGGAAUAUAUUUUUCAAUUCGAGAUGGUUUCAUUUUUUCUUAUAGUUUUGCUGAGAUUGAAAGGAAUUGCAAAUCCUUUUCUCAGCAUUUGAAGCUAAUAAUGAGGAUAGUCCAUAGAGAUAUAAGCUGCAGAUUAGUUUUUGGGGGAGAUGGACAGUGUAUAUAUUUGGGUUUGUCGGUAGAGAUUAUGAGAAUUGAUUUUUUGACGAGAGAAAAGUGGUCCUGUGAGUGAGGAAGUAAAAGAUGAAGGCUGGAAAAGUGAAAUAACGGUCAAAAAAUUGAUUUUUUUGGGGUUGAAAAUUGUUACCAAACGGGGUAUAGCUAAGCUUAAUAAAUUUACUUAUAAGUGAAAAGGUGGAGUUGAAAUACACAAUUUUUCUUGUUAACUGCCCAAAAAAUGUAAAAUUUUUAUGCUAUCCAAACAUGUUUAAUUCACUUACAAGCAAAGCUCAACUUGCUCAGAAUUAUGUUCCUUUAUGAUUUGAUUGUUUGAUUACAAAGUGGUACCUUAUACUUAUAUUAAUUACGUUUAUUUUCAGAUUUGAUUCAUAGUUGAAAUUCACUCGUGAUGUUUUAUACUGAAAAUUUACUGAUGCAAUGAUUUGAUUAGUCUGUGUGUGUGUUUUUUUUUUUAAGAACAUUGCCUGAAAUGGAAGAAUACAUUUAUGUUUUUGUCUUGUGAAAGAUAACGCUGAAUAUGAAGUAUGCCAGAAAUUUUUGCAAAAAACUUGUUCAAUAGUCAUUAAUUCUUCUGGCCGACAUGGAAAUGUAGGGGAUAAUAUUAUUCCCUUUCUUCUACCUACAUGGGAGGAAGUGCUUCGAGUCCUACUUGUUUUCGGUGUAACUUCAUCUACACCUUCCCCUGUUGUCCACUUCCUUGAUCUAUAUGGAUGCUUAAAUUUGAUCGACAUUUUUCGGUUCAAGAGGUUCAUUUUACACAUUCACGUAAUACGAUAUUGGAUGAUUCGACAUAUGGUAACUUCUUACUUUCAUUUAUACUGUGAGAUUUGAAUCAUGUAGAUGGAAUUUCUGACAUUGUUAACCGUUUGUUUUAGGUUUCAUGAAUGUUUAUGAACCUCUUUAUGUUUGGUACACUUCAGAAUGAAUUUCUGGUGGCAAAUUUUUCAAUAUUUCAGAAUAGCCUUUGUCGUAGUCAAGGUGAAAAGUUUUCCUCCUAAAAUAUUCACGGUUGAAGACACCUUUUUGUAGAUUGAACCGAAUGUUCAAAUGCAUUUAUAUGUUCUGCAUAUCUUCCCUGUGUUUCCUUUAUUGCCUGACUGUGAGCUCUUGAGACUCUUGGCUGUAAAUUGGGGAGGAGCUUGGAAGACUCCCUGCUACUUGAGCAACUCAGGGUCUCCUGAGGAUUGGAAAUUUGGGUAGGACGAAAACACAGGAUGGGAGACUCGGGUAGAGAAGAUGAUGGGUGAAGAAGAAGAGGAUAAUAAAGGGGACCUGAAAGAUGGAAUAAGCCCACCCACACGGCCUCACCUGUCGACACUCAAUUAAGAAGGAGACUCGAAAGAAUAACUUUACGCAAGUCAAAAGUGCUUGUCAUAUUCAGCCCUUGUUUGAACCACAUUAUUUUGGGAAAAUUCAUUUUUGAAUAGUGUAUUGAUGGGAAAUGUGUGGUUAAAAAAUAAGGAAAAAUUUCGAAUUUACGUGUAAUAUUAUUUUUUUGGAGAAUGUGUGGUUGACACGAUGUUAAAUCACUGUUUAAGAAUGUAUUUUUUUCAAAUAAUGUGGAUCAAACAGGACCUCAAUAGUGUACUCUUAUUGUGACAGUAAUAGGGCUAUAGCACAAGUGCAAGACGAAUCUUAUUCGCUAAAUAUGUACGCAACUUAUGAUGUCAUUGUUCAUAACAUCGCAUUACCAUCUUUAUGGAUAUAUUGUAAUUUUUCAGUGAGUAGAAAUUUGAUUUUGUAACGUUAUUUUUUUGAAAUUUCAAGCUUAUUAUUACUUUUAAUAUAAUAUGAAUUAUUAUAGCUGAUGUUCAAGUCCAUCAACACUUAUCUGUUCAAAGACAAACUUGCAAUAAAAC